Molecule: ribosomal RNA, 253 nt
Filed under: uncultured bacterium
Lineage: Bacteria
Description: partial 16S ribosomal RNA
Rfam family: Bacterial small subunit ribosomal RNA
Source: RNAcentral
UACGAAGGGGGCUAGCGUUGUUCGGAAUUACUGGGCGUAAAGCGCAUGUAGGCGGAUAUUUAAGUCAGGGGUGAAAUCCCGCAGCUCAACUGCGGAACUGCCUUUGAUACUGGGUAUCUUGAGUAUGGAAGAGGUGAGUGGAAUUCCGAGUGUAGAGGUGAAAUUCGUAGAUAUUCGGAGGAACACCAGUGGCGAAGGCGGCUCACUGGUCCAUUACUGACGCUGAGGUGCGAAAGCGUGGGGAGCAAACAGG